GCAGCCGCGGUAAUACGGAGGAUCCAAGCGUUAUCCGGAUUUAUUGGGUUUAAAGGGUGCGUAGGCGGUUUUAUAAGUUAGAGGUGAAAUUUCGGUGCUCAACACCGACACUGCCUCUAAUACUGUAGGACUAGAGAGUAGUUGCGGUAGGCGGAAUGUGUAGUGUAGCGGUGAAAUGCUUAGAGAUUACACAGAACACCGAUUGCGAAAGCAGCUUACCAAGCUAUAUCUGACGUUGAGGCACGAAAGCGUGGGGAGCAAACAGGAUUAGAUACCCC
Molecule: ribosomal RNA, 278 nt
Filed under: uncultured Alistipes sp.
Lineage: Bacteria; Pseudomonadati; Bacteroidota; Bacteroidia; Bacteroidales; Rikenellaceae
Description: partial 16S ribosomal RNA
Rfam family: Bacterial small subunit ribosomal RNA
Source: RNAcentral